RNAcentral lists this ribosomal RNA (240 nucleotides) under uncultured bacterium. Its description in RNAcentral is "partial 16S ribosomal RNA". It matches the Rfam family "Bacterial small subunit ribosomal RNA", at positions 524 to 761 of the family's 1533-position model. The record is from RNAcentral.
GACGUAGGGCGCGAGCGUUGUCCGGAUUUAUUGGGCGUAAAGAGCUCGUAGGCGGCUUGUCGCGUCGAAUGUGAAAACCCACAGCUCAACUGUGGCUUGCAUUCGAUACGGGCAGGCUCGAGUUCGGUAGGGAGACUGGAAUUCCUGGUGUAGCGGUGAAAUGCGCAGAUAUCAGGAGGAACACCGGUGGCGAAGGCGGGUCUCUGGGCCGGAUAACUGACGCUGGAGGAGCGGAAAGCG